GCGGGACAGUCCCCCCAGGUCCAUUCGGGGCCCCCCGGCUCCAUUCGGGACCCCCAGCUCCGUCUCGGCAGCAGGACGGGGCCCCCCGGCUCCGUUGGGUUCCCCCCAGCUCCAUUCGGGGCCCCCCGGCUCCGUUGGGGUCCUCCAAACUCCAUCUCGGAAGCGGGAUGCUUCCCCCCAGCUCCAUUCGGGUCCCCCCGGUUCCCUUCGCGGCCCCCCAGCUCUGUUCAGGACCCCCCGGCUCCAUCUCGGAAGCGGGAUGGUUCCCCCUGGCUCCUUUGGGGUCCCCCCGGCUCCAUUCGGGAUCCCCCGGCUCCGUUGGGGUCCCCCCAGCUCCAUCUCGGAAGCAGGAUGGUUCCCCCCAGCUCCAUUCGGGACCCCCCAACUCCAUCUCGGCAGCGGGACGGUUCCCCCAUCCGGCACGGAAGCGCCUUCGCCCCCCUCCCCGCGCCGGUUCUGCCCCGAAGCGUCCCGCUCCGUUCCRACUGGAUUUGGGGGUUUUAUUUUUAUCUUUUUUGGCCCCAAAACGAUCCGGUCUCUCAAAUCCRGAAGCGGAACCGGAUCGCGGGCACCCGGGAAGCUCCAGCGACCUCCCGUGCUCCGGCUGCCCGCGGCGUUCGCCGUCCCGUCGCCGCCCGUCUCCUCCUUUUCCAGGCCCGCGGCGGCUCCGUUCCCUUCCCCGGCGCCAGGAUCCGACCGCUCCGAGGGCAAAUCCCAGCGGGGGCGGGAUGCUCCGGCRCCGCGGGGGGCCGCCGGCGCGACUCCGGCUCCUUCCGGGAGAUGUUCGGAGCCGGUUUGCAGGUGGUGCAGCCCCAAGGGCACCAGGCAGCGCUCAGGCUUCGCCCUGGCACCGGAGAACGUUCCCUGGCUCCGGCUGCCACGGAGAAGUGCCGCCACCGCAGGGAUUUUUAGCCGCUGGCAGCGCAAUUUGGGAGCUGGAUGGGAGCCGGGGCGGCUCCGGCGUGGGAAAAGGCCGGCAGAGCGGGAUAAAUAAAUAACGGCGACACGUGUUAUCGCYGGGGUUGGGAUAAGAGUUGGGCCUGGAGGUUCGUUUCCUCAUCCGUGUUUUUGGGAGCAGGGGGGGGAAAAAACCCGGCACGAGGGCGGAUUUGGUCCUGCCGGAGGGUGUUUUUUUUGCGGCGGGACAGAGCAUGUUUGGGAGGGGGGAAGCAGCUGCGGAAUGACAGGGAAAAGGGGAGCUUCGCUCGGGAUUCCCCAGCCGAAAAGCGGCCGGGCGGUUCGAGCUCCUCCUGGCGCCCCCGGGCGAGGAUCCGUGCCAAAAAAUUCCCGGCAGGGAGCGAUUUUUUUUGGAGGGAGGCAAGCGGUUGAAUUCCAGCUCGAAAUCCCUAGCGGAAAACACCCCGUCUUGACCUAAAUCUCUCGUUCUCCCCAUUUCUCCGCGGUUUUGGCCGGCAGCAGCGAGGGGGCAACCGCGGCCUCGCUCCAGGCUCAUCCCGGCGGCCCUUCCGUGGCCUUUCGUCUCCGGCGGGAGCCAUCCGUCACGUGGUGCCGGGAUUUCUCCUCGCCGCUGACCCGGGGCCGUGUUACAGUAACCCGGAGAGAGGCGGAGCGGAGCCAGGAGCUGCCAGCGGCUGCUCCGGGGAUCCCGGCGGCCGCAUCCCGCUGGCUCCGCGCGGCCGCUUCGUUUGCUUUUCCCGCUCAUUGAUCCAGAGCCGCGGUGGCUCCGCUCGCUCCGAAGCCGAGGGUCGGUGUCGGUGCCGUUAUUUCGGGUGAGGCAGCCUGGCGCUGCCGGCCGGUGCCGGAUCCCGGCUCCGGCUGUCCUGGGAGCGGAUUAGGCACUGUGAGGGCUCGGGGCCGGCGCGCCGCCACGCUUCCCCUCUGCCGGAGUGAAAAUCCGCCGGGAAAGGCUGCUCCGAGGCCUCCCGGUGCGGAGUGGCCUCGGCUGCCUCGCCGAGGCCGCGGGAGCUGCCCAGAGCCUCGGCCACGAUCCCGGCUGCCGCCUCGGCUCYGUCCAGCUGCCAUCCCGGCCGUGAUCCCGGCUCCUUCCGGCCAUGAUCCCAGCUCUGUCCGGCUGCGAUCUUGGCUCCAUCCAUCUGCAAUCCUAGCUGCGAUCUCGGCUCUGUUCAGCCGCAAUCCCGGCUCCGUCCGGCUAUGAUCCCGGCUCCAUCUGGCUGCGAUCCUGGCUGCGAUCCUGGCUCCAUCUGUCUGCGAUCCCAGCUGUGAUCCUGGCUCCAUCCAGCUGUGAUCCCAACUGUGAUCCUGGCUCCGUCUGGUCACCAUCCCAGCUCCAUCUGUCUGCAAUCCCAGCUCCGUCCAGCCGUGAUCCUGGCUGCGAUCCCGACUGUGAUCCCAGCUCCGUCUGGCUGCGAUCCUGGCUGUGAUCUUGGCUCUGUCCAGCUGUGAUCCCAGCUCCGUCUGGCUGUGAUCCUGGCUGCGAUCCUGACUCUGUCCAGGUGACACAGCCGUGAUCCCAGCCGUGAUCUCAGCUCUGUCUGCCCGCAGUCCCGGCUACGGUCCCGGCUCUGCCCAGCCGUGAUCCCGGCUGUGAUCCCAGCUCCGUCUGGUCACGAUCUCGGCUCCGUCCGCCCGUGAUCCCGGCUGUGAUCCUGGCUGCAGUCUCGGCUCUGUCCGCCCGCAAUCCCAGCUAUGGUCUCGGCUCCAUCCGCCCGCGAUCCCAGCCAUGAUCCUGGCUCCGUCCGGCUGCAAUCUCAGCUCCAUCCGCCCGCGAUCCCAGCUGUGAUCCUGGCUGCAGUCUCGGCUCCGUCCACCUGCGAUGCCAGCCACGAUCCCGGCUCCGUCUGGCCGCGAUCCCAGCUGUGAUCCCGGCUGCAAUCUCGGCUCYGUCUACCUGCGAUCCCGGCUGUGAUCCYGGCUGCAAUCUCGGCUCCGUCCGGCCGUGAUCCCAGCUGUGAUCCCGGCUGCAAUCUCRGCUCYGUCUACCUGCGAUCCCGGCUGUGAUCCUGGCUGCAAUCUCAGCUCUGUCCGCCCACGAUCCCAGCCAUGAUCCCAGCUCCGUCCGGCCACGAUCCCAGCUGUGAUCCUGGCUGCAAUCUCAGCUCCGUCUACCUGCGAUCCCAGCUGUGAUCCUGGCUGCAAUCUCAGCUCCGUCUACCUGCGAUCCUGGCUGUGAUCCUGGCUGCAAUCUCAGCUCUGUCCGCCCGCGAUCCCAACCAUGAUCCCGGCUCCGUCCGGCUGCGAUCCCAGCUGCGAUCCCAGCUGCAAUCUCGGCUCCGUCUACCUGCGAUCCUGGCUGUGAUCCCAGCUGCAAUCUCAGCUCCAUCCACCCACGAUCCCAGCCGCGAUCCCGGCUCCGUCCGGCCACGCCGGCAGAAACGAGAGCCGUCGCCCUCGAGGGUCGCUUGGCCGAAGCGGCGCCGGGGCCACGGGGGGGAAACAGGCGGCUCCUGCCCCGUCCCCCCCCCCCCCCCCCCCCCCCCCCCCCCCCCCCCCCCCCCCCCCCCCGGCCCGUUUUUAGGGAUCAGCCCCCCCCGGGCAGGGAGACGAAGCCGCAACGCCGGCACGGAGGAGGGUUCGGCACCGGAGCCGGGGGGGGGAUACAGCCGUGCCCCAGGGACGGGAGCCCCGGGGGGGGCAAGUUUAAGGCAGGUUUUUGCCCCCCUGGGGGGGGUGGAAUUGGCAUCGGAGCCGCCAAAGGCCGGAAAAUGGUUAAAAACCUGCGUCCCCCCCCCCCCCCCGGGGAACCGGCGGCAGGUUGCUCACGGCUCCGUCGGCACCGGGAGAGAGGAGACGGAUGGAGCCGAGCGGGGAAAAAAAACCUUUGUGGAAAAACGAAAUAAAAAUUAAUGGGGGGGGGGCA
Molecule: long non-coding RNA, 3778 nt
Organism: Apteryx rowi (Okarito brown kiwi)
Lineage: Eukaryota; Metazoa; Chordata; Aves; Apterygiformes; Apterygidae
Source: Ensembl